AGCUCUGUGGUGAAUUAACAUGUUGAAUUGCAAAUUCAAAGAAGCAGUUUUAA
RNAcentral lists this transfer RNA (53 nucleotides) under Hippotragus equinus (roan antelope). RNAcentral's name for it is "partial tRNA-Cys". Lineage: Eukaryota; Metazoa; Chordata; Mammalia; Artiodactyla; Bovidae. The record is from RNAcentral.